RNAcentral lists this transfer RNA (52 nucleotides) under Loxodonta cyclotis (African forest elephant). RNAcentral's name for it is "partial tRNA-Lys". The record is from RNAcentral. Lineage: Eukaryota; Metazoa; Chordata; Mammalia; Proboscidea; Elephantidae.
CAUUAAGAAGCUAUAAUAGCACUAACCUUUUAAGUUAGAGUAUGGGAACAUA